This 1599-nucleotide long non-coding RNA is filed under the name Mytilus galloprovincialis (Mediterranean mussel). Lineage: Eukaryota; Metazoa; Mollusca; Bivalvia; Mytilida; Mytilidae. The record is from RNAcentral.
CAUUUAUAAAAUGAGAUAUUUUCCAUCAAUUGAAUAAUUUGAUUUAUGUUUUAGGGAUACAACAAGUAUGCAAGUCCCUAGAUAUAAAUGAACAGAGAAAAUUAUUGAGGAGAUCAUUGGGGAAAAAACUUAACAAAGGAAAUGUACUUUUCUAUAAGGAGGAGAAGUGAAAGAAGCAGGUAUUAUAUACUUGAUUAACUUAAUUUGGCUGUAACAAUCAAACCAUUGAGAUAAAUGUCUAUAUAUUUCAAUAAAUCAGCACGUAAACAAACAACAAAAUCAGUAGAGGCAUCUGUUAGUUAAUACAAAGACAUCAAUAUAAGUGUCAAUACAAAUGUCAAAACAAAUGUCAAAAAAAGAGGAAGUGGUAUGAUUACCAAUGAGACAACUCUACUCAAGAGACCAAAGGAUACAGGCAUUAAUAACUAUUGAUUUGGCCUUCAACGAUGAGUAAAACCUGUAAUGCAUAGUCAUCUUUAAGUUUAAUAAAUAUAUAAAAUACCACAGAAUGACAAAUAUGUAAAAUAAUUUGACUGUUUGAAUAUUAUGUACAUGUAUCAUAGAUAGCCAAAAAAUCUGUUUUUAAAAAUGACAAAAAGUGACUGGCGGUUAGAGAUAUAAAUAAAGGCUAUAUAUAUUAACUUGUCCAUGCAACCUCAUUAUGUACAUAAGGAGGCCCAAGAGUACUAGUAUGAUUGUUUUUGUCUCAUCAUCCAUCCCAAAAUUUUCUUCAGUGUUACUGAUAACUUUGUAUCAGGCAGGCUUGUCAUUUAAUGUAUAUACAUUGCACAUUAUAUAUUUAUUUUAUAUAAAGGUCUACCGGUAUGCAGUUUUUAAAAAUUUUUUGGGGUAUGGUAAAUAUCUUGCAUUCAUUGAACCUCCAAAAAUUAUUUUUCCAUCCUCAUUUGUUUUUCAUUACUUUAUUUUCGAAUCCCUUAAAUAAAGUUUUUAUUCUUAUAUUAUUCAUGAUAUAUUUAUAAAACCUUGAUUUUUUGCAACCAUAUUAUGGUAUGGCAUCGUCGUCUGAAGACUUUUGUUUCCAGGCAAUAACUUUAGUAACUAAAUGGAUCUUUAUGAAAUUGUACCACAUGGUUCCAUACCCCAAAAGGAGGUUGGGUAGGAGUUAUGGCUUAAAAGUUUAUACACAAGGGGCCAAAAACAAUACUUCUUUUCUUGACCAAUAUAACUUUUCUUAUGUUUGUAGGGAAAAUUGGCGGAGUGUAACAUCUAUUAGGAAUAAAAAGAGGAAAUAAGUGUCUGAAGCAGUAAAUCAUUAUGACUGAAAAAAGAAGAUAUCAGAAUAUGAAAUGAGUUUAUUUCAGUUAAAAAGACUUGCUACAGAAUGUUCCUCUUGUAAUUUUAUUGAAGACCAGACCAUUGUCAACUUUAAGUAAAGGAAGAUAAUAAAACAUUGAAGAGGAAAUGAAGGAAAAGACUUAAUCAUCAAAGAGCAUAACAAAGCAUAAUUCAGAAUAACUCAUGUGAAGGAAUAAUAUUGUACAGUAAAAAACAUACAUAACAAAAAACGAUAUUACAAUUUCAUUUUUUGCAAUUGCUGAAUUUUUAUGCUGUACUUUCAAAACUAUGGUUGCAGUACAG